UUCCACGCCUCUGCACAAAUCCACAUCAUCUCUAAAAUACCUCCCAAUGGAGCUUUCGUUUUAACCUCCACCCGCUUUAACAUCUCACAUAAAACCGGUGGUGUCGCGGU
Thalassophryne amazonica is the source of this 110-nucleotide long non-coding RNA. RefSeq lists it as uncharacterized. The record is from RefSeq and is a predicted model, not a curated record. Lineage: Eukaryota; Metazoa; Chordata; Actinopteri; Batrachoidiformes; Batrachoididae. The transcript is spliced from 3 exons.